This 325-nucleotide ribosomal RNA is filed under the name uncultured eukaryote. RNAcentral describes it as "partial 18S ribosomal RNA". It matches the Rfam family "Eukaryotic small subunit ribosomal RNA", at positions 1470 to 1796 of the family's 1831-position model. The record is from RNAcentral.
CCCUUAGAUGUUCUGGGCCGCACGCGCGCUACACUGAUGCAUUCAGCGAGUCCAUCCUUGCCCGAAAGGGCUGGGUAAUCUUUUGAAAUUGCAUCGUGAUGGGGCUUGCGGGUUGCAACUACCCGCACCAACGAGGAAUUCCUAGUAAACGCAAGUCAACAACUUGCAUUGAUUACGUCCCUGCCCUUUGUACACACCGCCCGUCGCUCCUACCGAUUGGAUGGUCCGGUGAAGCCUCGGGAUUGUGGUUCUUGCCGCUUUAUUGUGGCGUGACCGCGAGAACUUGUCUAAACCUUAUCAUCUAGAGGAAGGUGAAGUCGUAACA